Molecule: ribosomal RNA, 301 nt
Filed under: uncultured bacterium
Lineage: Bacteria
Description: partial 16S ribosomal RNA
Rfam family: Bacterial small subunit ribosomal RNA
Source: RNAcentral
CAGUCGCCGCGUGAAUACGAAGGGUGCAAGCGUUAAUCGGAAUUACUGGGCGUAAAGCGUGCGUAGGCGGUUUGUUAAGUCUGCUGUGAAAUCCCCGGGCUCAACCUGGGAAUGGCAGUGGAUACUGGCAAGCUAGAGUGUGUCAGAGGAUGGUGGAAUUCCCGGUGUAGCGGUGAAAUGCGUAGAGAUCGGGAGGAACAUCAGUGGCGAAGGCGGCCAUCUGGGACAACACUGACGCUGAGGCACGAAAGCGUGGGGAGCAAACAGGAUUAGAUACCCCCGUAGUCCCUGUCUCUUAUAC